GCUGAGCUGUGAUGACGAGGGAAUUAUAGUACCGAAGUUCCUGAUUCCACACUGCCAAGAAAAGCCUCUAGCGAGGCGGGAGGUGCCCGUACCGCAAACCGACACAGGUAGGCGAGGAGAGAAUCCUAAGGUGAUCGAGAGAACUCUCGUUAAGGAACUCGGCAAAAUGACCCCGUAACUUCGGGAGAAGGGGUGCUCUGGUAGGGUGUAUAGCCCGAGAGAGCCGCAGUGAAUAGGCCCAGGCGACUGUUUAGCAAAAACACAGGUCUCUGCGAAGCCGCAAGGCGAAGUAUAGGGGCUGACGCCUGCCCGGUGCUGGAAGGUUAAGAGGAGGGGUUAUCCUUUGGGAGAAGCUCUGAAUCGAAGCCCCAGUAAACGGCGGCCGUAACUAUAACGGUCCUAAGGUAGCGAAAUUCCUUGUCGGGUAAGUUCCGACCCGCACGAAAGGCGUAACGAUCUGGGCACUGUCUCAACGAGAGACUCGGUGAAAUUAUAGUACCUGUGAAGAUGCAGGUUACCCGCGACAGGACGGAAAGACCCCGUGGAGCUUUACUGUAGCCUGAUAUUGAAUUUUGGUACAGCUUGUACAGGAUAGGUAGGAGCCUGAGAAGCCGGAGCGCUAGCUUCGGUGGAGGCGUCGGUGGGAUACUACCCUGGCUGUAUUGAAAUUCUAACCCGCGGCCCUGAUCGGGCCGGGAGACAGUGUCAGGUGGGCAGUUUGACUGGGGCGGUCGCCUCCUAAAAUGUAACGGAGGCGCCCAAAGGUUCCCUCAGAAUGGUUGGAAAUCAUUCGUAGAGUGUAAAGGCACAAGGGAGCUUGACUGCGAGACCUACAAGUCGAGCAGGGACGAAAGUCGGGCUUAGUGAUCCGGUGGUUCCGCAUGGAAGGGCCAUCGCUCAACGGAUAAAAGCUACCCCGGGGAUAACAGGCUUAUCUCCCCCAAGAGUCCACAUCGACGGGGAGGUUUGGCACCUCGAUGUCGGCUCAUCGCAUCCUGGGGCUGUAGUCGGUCCCAAGGGUUGGGCUGUUCGCCCAUUAAAGCGGUACGCGAGCUGGGUUCAGAACGUCGUGAGACAGUUCGGUCCCUAUCCGUCGUGGGCGUAGGAAAUUUGAGAGGAGCUGUCCUUAGUACGAGAGGACCGGGAUGGACACACCGCUGGUGUACCAGUUGUCUUGCCAAAGGCAUCGCUGGGUAGCUAUGUGUGGACGGGAUAAGUGCUGAAAGCAUCUAAGCAUGAAGCCCCCCUCAAGAUGAGAUUUCCCAUAGCGCAAGCUAGUAAGAUCCCUGAAAGAUGAUCAGGUUGAUAGGUCAGAGGUGGAAGCGUGGCGACAUGUGUAGCUGACUGAUACUAAUCGAUCGAGGACUUAACCAA
Molecule: ribosomal RNA, 1374 nt
Filed under: Priestia megaterium
Lineage: Bacteria; Bacillati; Bacillota; Bacilli; Caryophanales; Bacillaceae
Also listed under: 1 other name
Description: partial 23S ribosomal RNA
Rfam family: Bacterial large subunit ribosomal RNA
Source: RNAcentral